GCUUACGGCCACACCGCCUGGUUCACGCACGAUCUCGUUUGAUCUCGGAAGAUAAGAUAGGGUGGGCCUGGUUAGUACUUGGAUGGGAGACCGCCUGGGAAUACCAGGUGCUGUAUGCU
Molecule: ribosomal RNA, 119 nt
Filed under: Scophthalmus maximus (turbot)
Lineage: Eukaryota; Metazoa; Chordata; Actinopteri; Pleuronectiformes; Scophthalmidae
Source: RNAcentral